CGGGAAUGUAACAUCAGCAUAACACUUCCUACCUCUAAAGAAUUCUCUUUCAGAUGCAAAAAGAGAAGCGAAGGGAGGCGUUCUUUCAGGUAUCAGUAUCAAAGCAUAUAACCCUAACUUCACAGACCACCCAAGUUGGCGAUACGGCCCAUGACAUACAGUCUGUCAUAUAAAGUCAAUCCUUUCAAGUCAAAAAUAGAUCCAAAGACUAAUGAUGGCAGACUAAGAAGCUGAUCAUAAGGCCAUUCUUGAGAAAAAUGAAAAACAAAUUAUAUGUUCAAAUGAUGGGCUGAAGUUG
This 298-nucleotide unclassified non-coding RNA is filed under the name Hevea brasiliensis (rubber tree). Lineage: Eukaryota; Viridiplantae; Streptophyta; Magnoliopsida; Malpighiales; Euphorbiaceae. The record is from RNAcentral.